RNAcentral lists this long non-coding RNA (4070 nucleotides) under Sus scrofa (pig). RNAcentral describes it as "lncRNA (ENSSSCG00005012935.1)". Lineage: Eukaryota; Metazoa; Chordata; Mammalia; Artiodactyla; Suidae. The record is from RNAcentral.
GGAAAACUGGACAGCUACAUGUAAAAGAAUGAAAUUAGAACACUCUCUAACACCAUACACAAAAUUAAAUUCAAAAUGGAUUAAAGACCUAAAUGUAAAACCAGAUACUAUAAAACUCUUAGAGGAAAACAUAGGCCAGACAUUCUCUGACGUAAACCACAGCAAUAUUUUCUCAGAUCCACCUAGAGUAAUGACAAUGGGAUAGAUUGGGAGCUUGGGGUUAAUAGAUGCAGACUAUUGCCUUUGAAAUGAUUGGCAAUGAGACCCUUCUAUGUAGCACUGGGAACUAUGUCUAGUCACUUAUGUUGGAGCAUGAUAAUGUGAGAAAAAAUAAUGUAUGCAUGCAUGUGUAACUGGGUCACCAUGCUGUACAGUAGAAAAAAAAAUGAUGUAUUGGGGAAAUAAAAAAAUAAAAAUAAAAUAAAAAAACAAAAAUAAACAAAAGGGGCAUAAUUAAAAGUUUUUGCAUAAAAAAGGAAAGCAUAAACAAAACAAAAAGACAACCCACAGAAUGAGAGAAAAUAUUUGCAAAUGAAGCAACUGGCAAGGGAUUAAUCACCAAAAUAUAUAAACAUAUCCUGCAGCUCAGUAUAAAAAACAAAAACGAAAAAAUAUAUAAACAGCCCCAUCAAAAAAUGGGCAGAAAAUCUAAACAGACAUUUCUCCAAAGAAGGCAUACAAAUGGCCAAAAAACACAUAAAAAGAGUCUCAACAUCACUAAUUAUUUGAGAAAUGCCAAUCAAAACUACUGCAAAGUACCACCUAACACCAGCCAGAAUGACCAUCAUCAAAAAGUCUACAAACAAUAAAUACUAGAGAGGGUGUGGAGGAAAGGGAACCCUCUUACACUGUUGGUGGGAAUGUAAAUCAGUGCAACCACUAUGGAAAACAGUAUGGAGAUUCCUUGGAAUACUAAAAAUAGAAUUACCGUAUGAUCCUGUAAUCUAACUCCUGGGCAUCUAUCUAGAAAAAAGCAUAACUGAAAAAUAUACAUGUACCCCAGUGUUCAUUGUAGUACUAUAUAUACAAUAGCCAAGACAUGUGCACAACCUAAAUGUUCAUCAACAGAGGAGUGGAUAAAGAUGUGAUGCAUAUAGAUAAUGGAAUAUUACUCAGCCUUAAAAAAGAAUGAAAUGUCAUUUGCAGCAACAUGGAUGGACCUAGAAAUUAUCAUGCUAAGUAAAGUUAGUCAGACAAUGAGAGACAAAUAUAUGCUAUCAUUUAUAUGUGGAAUCUUUAAAAAGGAUACAAUGAACUUCUUUGCAGAACAGAAAUACACAGGUAUUGAAAAGUUUACAGUUACUAAAAGGGACAGAUUUGGGGGAAGGGAUGGAUUGGGGGUUUGGGAUGGAAUUGUUCUAAAAUUAGAUGGUGAUGAUGGUUGUAUAACUGUAAAUAUGAUAAAAUUCAUUGAAGUUUUGAAAAUGAAGGGAUCAGAGAAUUUUUAUUUUUUUUUAAUGGCUGCACCCAUGGCAUAUGGAAGUUCCUGGGUCAGGAAUUGAAUCUUUGCUGCAGCUGCAACCUAUGCUGAAGCUGCAAAAAUGCUGAUCCAUUAACCCACUGGAAUGGCCUAAGGAUUGAACCCAUACCUCUGCAGAAAUCUGAGCCACUGCAUUCCCAUUGUGGCUCCAUGGGUUAAGAACCCAACUAGUAUCUGAGGAUGUGGGUUCAAUCCCUGGCCUUGCUCACUGGGUUAAAGGAUCCAGCACUGCUGAGAGCUGUGGUGUAUUUCACAUAUGUGGCUUGGAUCUGGCAUGGCUGUGAUGUAGGUUUGCAGGUGCAGCUCGGAUUCAACUCUUAGCCUGGGAACAUCCACAUGCCAUAGGUACAACCAUAAAAAGAAGAAAAAAAUUUUUAAAAAUUCCCCCAGUUUUCUGAACUCUGCAAGGUUAACUCUUUUGGAAAAAACUGUUAACACAUCGGGUUUUGAAAUUUCAAAAAAUAUUUACCUUGGAAGAACAAUUCAGAUACUGUUUUCUCUUCUAAAAAAAUAAGAUAGUUGAUUCAGAAUAAUAGCUUAAAGUCUUUUCCAGUUCUAUAUUUAUCUAAAUCAGAGUUACCUAAAACUUAGAUUUUAAAAUGCUGUGUCGUCCAAAAUACUUUUUUCCCAGUGCAUUUAAAGGUAAGAAGGAUGUAUAAAACAUGUUUUGGAGUUCCCUUCAUGGCACAGCAGGAACAAAUCUGAUUAGGAACCACGAGGUUGCGGGUUUGAUCUCUGGCCUUUCUCAGUGGGUUAAGGAUUCAGCAUUGCCAUGAGCUGUGGUGUAGGUAACCAGAGGUGGCUUGGAACCUACAUUGCUGUGGCUGGGGCCUAGGCCAGUAGCCGUAACUCUGAUUAGACCCCUAGCCUGGGAACUUCCAUAUGCCGCAAGUGUGGUCCUAAAAAGACCAAAAAAUAAAUAAAUAAAUAAAAAUAAAACAUGUCUCACAUGCUGUGUAAGUCUGUGGGAAUGACUUAACUAGUUUAAUUUUUUUCCCUAAAACAUUGUAAAUUGACAAAUCACUUAAAAGUAUCAUUACAAUUAAUUAUAAAAUAAUUUUAAUGAAUUCAGAAGAAGUGAAUGUCUUUGCACAAUAUCCUUGAAAUUGCUGUAGUUUUUGGAAAGCCUGCUCAAAAUAGUUUGAACACAUUUAGCAAAAGAUAGAAAAGAAAUAGGAUUUUACAUUUGAGACCUCUUAACUAUUCCCAGAACAAGAGAUUUUCACAGAGUCAAACAUUUGGAGAUAAUUCUACAAAUAGGACAUUUUAUCUGAUUAAGCUGAUUAACUCUCAGUGAAGCCCACGAAUUGACAAAGUCCUACCCACACACUUUCUUUUGGUGCUUCAUUCUUAAUAUGAGUGAAUAUCCAACAGUUCACCCCAGUAAUUGUCCAGGAAAACCUCCAACACGAAAAACAUACUAAACCUAAAUAAACGGUAUAAUGGGAUCCAGAGGAAACUAACAAUGAAGAGGUAGCCAGACAAUUAAAAUACGAAAGCAAAAAGAAAAGAAACAAGUUAGAGAAAAACAGAGUUGAGAAAAUGAGGAGUACAUUAAAUAAGAAAAUACAACGUCCCCCUAAAAGGAAAAGAAAAUAUAAAAUCCAUUAAGAUGCUAUUUAAAUUUUGAAUAAGUAAAGGCAGAACUUUGAAAUUAAAAAUAUUAUAAAUUGAUUUAAUUUUAUUUAAUUAUAAAUUUAAAUAGGCUGGAAGAGAAAGUUUGGAGAACUAGAAAAUAGAACAAGAAGCAAAGAGAUUAAAAAAAAAAAGGUGGAAUAAACAUGAGAUUCAAGGCUUAACCCAGGAAUCCCACCAUAUUGCAAAUUGGACUUCCAUAAAAGAAUAACAGAAAAAGUAAAAGGAAAAAGAAAUUACCAAAAAAAUUAUUAAACUUCUCUCUGAAGAUAUUUCUUCACAUUGAAAAAGACCACUAACUAUCCAGCAUAAUAAAUGGAAAAUACCCACACCAUGGAAAAUCAUCACAAAAUUUCAGCACAUGAAGGAUAAAGAAAAAUGGUGAGAGCUUCCCAAGGGGAAAAAAUAGGCAUGUUUCACAUCUAAAGGAGUGCAGUGGCAUCAGACCUCUCAACAACUACACUGUAGAAAAAUUCUUCAAAACCAUAAGGUAACCAAUCUCAUUACUUAGAAUUUUAUACCCAGGCAGCCAGUGUGCUGUUAGACUAAAAGAGGCCUCUCUCCAGUCCUCCAAAAGUACUGUUCCUGGACUGAUUCCUAGGAAAUCACUGCAGAAUGUGACUUAUCUAGAUGAUUAAGUAAAGUAUGAGAAGGAAGAUGUAGACAACUGAAAACAAGAGGUUCCAUGCAAAGGGGAUAAAGAAAAGUGUCAGCAUGGCUGCUAUUUAGCAAACUAAAAGGACAACCAGUUCACACUGUUCUCUUAUAAGGAGAACCCUCAGAAAGGAACUCUCUAGGCAUUGUCUCUGUGGCACCUGGGUUCAUUACUGAGGCUUGGGUUUGAUGUCUGGCCUGCCACAGUGGAUUAAUGAUCUGGCAUUGCCACAGCUGUGACAUAUGUCAUAGCUGUGGCUCAGAUUCGAUCCCUGGCCUGGGAAUUUCCAUAUGCUAUGGG